RNAcentral lists this ribosomal RNA (251 nucleotides) under uncultured prokaryote. Its description in RNAcentral is "partial 16S ribosomal RNA". It matches the Rfam family "Bacterial small subunit ribosomal RNA", at positions 525 to 775 of the family's 1533-position model. The record is from RNAcentral.
ACGUAGGGUGCGAGCGUUAAUCGGAAUUACUGGGCGUAAAGCGUGCGCAGGCGGUUUGUUAAGCAAGGCGUGAAAUCCCCGGGCUUAACCUGGGAAUGGCGCUUGGAACUGGCAGUCUAGAGUACGGCAGAGGGGGGUGGAAUUCCACGUGUAGCAGUGAAAUGCGUAGAGAUGUGGAGGAACACCGAUGGCGAAGGCAGCCCCCUGGGCCGAUACUGACGCUCAUGCACGAAAGCGUGGGGAGCAAACAG